GUCGGAAAGUGCGCGGGUCGCCUG
RNAcentral lists this non-coding RNA (24 nucleotides) under Arabidopsis thaliana (thale cress). Lineage: Eukaryota; Viridiplantae; Streptophyta; Magnoliopsida; Brassicales; Brassicaceae. The record is from RNAcentral.